ACGGCUGAUAACUUAUCAGGUGUCGGCAAUGUACAUGAUUGUUACAUGUACAUUGCCGGUGAAAAGGGAAACAGGUGAGAGUCCUGUGCGAACCCGUCACUGUUACCGGGGAGUGCGGCAAGAAGCCACUGCAUAGAUGCGGGAAGGCUGCCAAAGCACAACGAGCCGGAAGUCAGGAGACCUGCCUGAUAUUUUAACUUGGA
This 203-nucleotide non-coding RNA is filed under the name [Eubacterium] cellulosolvens. Lineage: Bacteria; Bacillati; Bacillota; Clostridia; Eubacteriales; Eubacteriaceae. The record is from RNAcentral.